Molecule: ribosomal RNA, 435 nt
Filed under: uncultured bacterium
Lineage: Bacteria
Description: partial 16S ribosomal RNA
Rfam family: Bacterial small subunit ribosomal RNA
Source: RNAcentral
AACGAACGCUGGCGGCAUGCCUAACACAUGCAAGUCGAACGAACACCUGCGGGUGUUAGUGCCGCACGGGUGCCUAACGCGUGGGAAUUAACCCUUGGGUUCGCAAUAUCAACGGGAAACGGCACCUAGUACCACCUGAGAUCGCAACGGCAAACAUUUUUCGCCUGAGGAUGCGACCGCGUUGGACUAGUUAGUUGGUAUGGUAAAGUGCUACCAAGCCGACGAACCAUAGCUGUACUGAGAGGAUGUUCCGCAACACUGGUGCGUAGCCACAGCCCAGACUCCUCCGGGAGGCAGCAGUGGGUAAUAUUGGACAAUCGGCGCAAGCCUGAUCCAGCAAGGCCGCGUGAGUGAUGUAGGCACUAGGGUUGUAAUGCUCUAUUACCUGGGAAGAUAAUGACUGUACCGGGAGAAUAAGCCCCGGCUAACUACGUG